UCUUAUAGGGCCAUCUUUCUCUUUGUAGAGCUCAAACAGAAGGAGAGAGGAUAUGCUAUGACCUGCCAUUCCCUUCCAGAACACAGAUCGCCAAGGCCCCUGUAGAACUUAAAACAAGGACUGUCCCUGGCCAGCCUCUGCUCCUUGUGACUUGGUGAAGAGAGAUGAGGGCCGGGCAGGGACCGUGAAAGAGAUCCAGGCGAAGACAGCAAACAGACAGACGGAGCCUCUGCGGAAACCCCUGCUUGCAAGACCUGAGCAUCCUGGGACAUCAAGCUGCCUAUUGUUGGAAAACAGAGACAGAACAUGGACUUCUAGUGCUUGAUCUAGGACGCUUGACUGUAAGUAUAUUUCCAUUUUUUAAAACUUCAUGUGGCUUGGAA
Molecule: long non-coding RNA, 383 nt
Filed under: Salvator merianae (Argentine black and white tegu)
Lineage: Eukaryota; Metazoa; Chordata; Lepidosauria; Squamata; Teiidae
Description: lncRNA (ENSSMRG00000009169.1)
Source: RNAcentral